UGAGGAAUAUUGGACAAUGGGCGCAAGCCUGAUCCAGCAAUGCCGCGUGCAGGAUGAAGGCCUUCGGGUUGUAAACUGCUUUUGUACGGAGCGAAAAGGUCUGCCCUAAUACGGUGGGCUCAUGACGGUACCGUAAGAAUAAGCACCGGCUAACUACGUGCCAGCAGCCGCGGUAAUACGUAGGGUGCGAGCGUUAAUCGGAAUUACUGGGCGUAAAGCGUGCGCAGGCGGUUAUAUAAGACAGAUGUGAAAUCCCCGGGCUCAACCUGGGACCUGCAUUUGUGACUGUAUAGCUAGAGUACGGUAGAGGGGGAUGGAAUUCCGCGUGUAGCAGUGAAAUGCGUAGAUAUGCGGAGGAACACCGAUGGCGAAGGCAAUCCCCUGGACCUGUACUGACGCUCAUGCAUGAAAGCGUGGGGAGCAAACA
Molecule: ribosomal RNA, 427 nt
Filed under: uncultured bacterium
Lineage: Bacteria
Description: bacterial SSU rRNA
Rfam family: Bacterial small subunit ribosomal RNA
Source: RNAcentral